This 81-nucleotide transfer RNA is filed under the name Rubrimonas cliftonensis. It matches the Rfam family "tRNA". From Rfam's summary of the family: Transfer RNA (tRNA) molecules are approximately 80 nucleotides in length. Their secondary structure includes four short double-helical elements and three loops (D, anti-codon, and T loops). Lineage: Bacteria; Pseudomonadati; Pseudomonadota; Alphaproteobacteria; Rhodobacterales; Paracoccaceae. The record is from Rfam by way of RNAcentral.
GCGGACGUGGCGGAACGGUAGACGCAGCGGACUUAAAAUCCGCAUCCUCCGGGAGUGUGGGUUCGAGUCCCACCGUCCGCA